Molecule: long non-coding RNA, 2406 nt
Filed under: Callithrix jacchus (white-tufted-ear marmoset)
Lineage: Eukaryota; Metazoa; Chordata; Mammalia; Primates; Cebidae
Description: lncRNA (ENSCJAG00000074702.1)
Source: RNAcentral
GAAUUGCCUAAUCUGGGCCAUUUUUGAGAGUGAGAGGAACAAUUUGUAAUUAUGCUCACGCCAUAGGCAUGAGGCAGACUUUCCCAACAAAUCCAGGCACAUGGUUAGUUACCUUAAAAUGGAGCUAUGCAUGGUGAAUAUUGUCGAAAACAGAUGAGAGGCAAAGCUGUGGUUGGAAAUGGUGACACGGAUCAGGGAAGAUUAGACAGUAAUGUUUACUACUUUCUGUCUUGUAUUACGUUUGUUUAUACACACAUCUUUUUUUUCCACCAGAUUUAAGAAGUUUGAAAGAGGGUUCCAUGUUCUAUUCAUCAUCUAAUUUCCCACAGUGCUCACAAAACAACUUCAUGAAAAGAGCUGGAGUAAUGCAUAUAGCUUCAAGGAUGAAGACCACAGUCCCCAGCCUCCUUAUAACCAACCUGUCUGUUCAAAUCCAUUCUCUUCAAGAAAAUAAGAACAAUAUUUAUGUGUGCAGCUUCCAGUUUGAACAUGGAUGAAGUGAGGCCAUCAAAGGGAAGAUGUGGAUGGGGAGAGAGGAACAAUUCCAGAAACCAUAUACCUCUCCCAUGUGCCAAGACAUUGGAGUGCAAGGAGGAGGAAUAAACAGCUACUCUUCUCACCACUUUAAACCCCUAGAGGCCUAAGAUAUUUAAAUCUGAUAUAAAAUGGGUGUUUUAAUCUACUUUGAAUUAGAUAUAACUUUUUAUAAGUGAAAGUUAAUGGAAAUAUAGAAUCUGCUCAAGAUAUUAAAGGAGGGAUUGUACAGAGGAUAGUUGCAAACAGCAAUUGAAAACCCAGGGAUAGCUGGGUUAAGUUUAUAUCUCAUUGUGGUUUUGGUUUGCAUUUCCCUGACGAAUAGUGAUGUUGAGCAUUUUUUUCAUAUACCUACUCAGCAUUUAUACGUCCUCUUUUGAGAAAUGUCUAUUCAGGUCUUUUGUCCAUUUAAAAAUUGUAUUAUUAUUAAUUUUGCUUUGUGUUGUUUGAGGAGAGUAGAGGAAAUGAGAGUGGAAAGAGACUGGCCAAUGGCUACAAAAUUGCAGUUAGAUAUGAGAAAUACAUUCUCUUACACCAUGGGGUGACUAUAGUUAAAACUAUUGUAUUAUGUGUUUCAAAAUAACUAGAAGAAAGUACUUUGAAUAUCCUUACUACAAAGAAGUAUUAAAUAUUUGAGGUGAUAGACAAGGUGAUACCCUUGUUUGAUCAUUACACCAUUUAUGCAUGCAUACACGCAUCACACUUUACCUAUAAAUAUGUGUAAUUAUUAUAUGUUGAUUAAAAACAAAAAAAGCUUCAUGUGUAAUAUUUGUUAUCAUUUGGCAGCUUGGGGAAGUGCUUUUCUAUUGGAGAGUAUAGUUGAGCAUUGUUGAAGAAGAUAUCAAAUCCUGUAGCAUUCUCAUGUUUGAAAAAAGGUAACUAACUUAAACUUUUGGCUUAUCAAACCAGUAACGUUAGAAUAAUGAUAAUGACUCCUACUCAAGAUGGUUGUGAUACUUACAAAUCACACAUAAAAACUUCAUUGUUUUACUGAAUCCCUGAAAUUGGUUUGAUUUCUCUGUUGAAACUCUUAAAGAAUGAUCAAGGGGAGAAUGGGGUCACAUCUCUCACUUAGUGAGUGCUUAAAACAGAGGAUGCUGAACAUUUCCUGGUGAUGGGGAGGAACAGGUGACUAACAGUGUAUUUUGUUAUUAGUUUUAUAGCUGAACGGGAACGGAAAAGUUUCCUAAAUCAAAAAAUCUAGGUAUUGAGAGGUAAGACAUAAAAAGGAUUCAGUAUUAAAAUAAAUAAUAUGUCAAUCAAAAAUUUAAUGUAAAAGAGUUCUAAUAUGAAAUGUAAAGAUUUUAUCCAGAGUUAUCUUGACUCUUAGAAGCAGAUAUAUGUAUAUAAUUGUUUUAUACAUGUUUAUGAGGACAAAGUAAGCAUUUUCUAUAGGAAAGAGAAGGGGCACCGCAGUGGACACAGAAACCUUCCAGAUUAACUUUCCUUGUUCUGGCACCUAAUGCUGAAUAACAUGCUGAUGAGUACAGAAAGGGUGCACUCCUAUACAGGAUGACACCCUACAAGUUUACAGUCAUCUGACUGCUUGGUUCUGGCUAGGCUUUAAUUUCAUGUGUAAAAAUAACAGAAAAGCCAUUAAAUGUAGGUUUUCACACAAACCUCUAGGUUUCCCAAAUGAAUACUCUAAAGAUGACCGAGAGGGAUUGCUUUCCUCUCGGAAACCCAGCUGCUACUCCCUUUUGUGAGUGUAUUCAGUUCCUUACAGGUUUCUUUUACUAAUCUUUUUUGUCCUCUGAAAUUUAAAAUUAUUGAACAUUUUUUAUAACCUAGGAAAAUUAAUUUUAUAGCCAGACUAAUCAAGGCAUAAUGCUAAAAAAUAUUUCAAAUCAUUUGUUUGAUCUUAACUUCCAG